Molecule: long non-coding RNA, 2524 nt
Organism: Macaca fascicularis (crab-eating macaque)
Lineage: Eukaryota; Metazoa; Chordata; Mammalia; Primates; Cercopithecidae
Source: Ensembl
UUUUUUUUUUUUUUUCACUAUAAAGCUUUCCCACUUCCCUGCCUGCCUUUGAAUCUCUGCCAACCGUAAGUGAUAGCAGCUGACUCCUUUCUAUAGCAAGCUCUGAAUAUAUGGCCUCUGUUCGUCUUCAUUCAGGCAGGCUUUAUUUCCACAAACAAGACGGCCCCUUAUCCUGCUCCUAUCUGAAAUUGUCUAAAGUUUUGACCAGGGCUCGCAUGCACUUCAAAGUCUGGUGGCUUAAGUGUGAGAUAGAGAGAUAGAUUGCAUGCCUUCAGGCUGUGCCCAUAUGGUCCACACAUAAUUUUCAUGUUGCCCUUUCACUCAAGACAAACAACACAACACACACACUUGUGCACGUGCACAUGUACCACUGGGAUUGGCUUGAAUCAUUUAUGUACAACACUGAAUUAUUUAUUUUCUCAUUUCAAGUGUGUUAAAGGCCUCCACCAAAGUUUACCCUGGUGUAUGCUAACCCUGAAUUGGGACAUUUGCUUCAACUUAUGUCACACCUAGGAGAGAAAUCAAGUGGAGGCAGAUCCUCACCAAAAAGAUUUAAUGAAGACACCACUGCUUAUGGUGGUGUCUAUAGCCAGAAGACUAUGCUUAUGAUGGACUCAACACACAAAUCAUUUUCUGACGGUUUUGAGACUUUUUUCCAGGGGUCAGCAAACUAUGACCUAUGGAUUUGGCCCACAGCCUAUUUUGUAAAUAAAGUUUUAUUGGCACACAGAAACACUCAUUCAUUUACAUUUUGUCUAUGGUUGCCUUUACUCUGCAAAGGCAGAGUUGAGAGGUUGCAAUGAAGAUGGUAUGGCCUGCAAAGACUAAACUAUUUGCUACCUAGUUUUCUACAGAAAAAGUUUGCUGAGCCUGCUUAGCUUCUCCAUGAACUCUAAUGAAUGGAUGCCCCAAGUUAUCCUGUCAUUUGAUUAACAUCCUGACAUAUUCCUUAGGUGCCAGCCAGGCUGAGCAUCCAAGUAGAAAUAAGAUAGCAUUCUUACCUUCAAAAAGCUCUCAGGCCAUCAGGAAAGAGAAAGAAAAACAUCAUACACACAGGGUGAUACAAGCAAAGAACAAAGAAGUAAAAUUGUAGGCAAGGCUUCAGGGAGGAAGUCAGUGAGCAAAUUAUGUAGUCCUUGUUCUUCCCCAACCUGGAUCCAUCCUCAACCUUUUCUGCUCUGCUCUGUGCCCUGGACGCCCCAGAACACUACAUCUCCCAUGUUCCCUUGUGCAUUAGUCCAUUCUUAAUGCUGCUAUAAAGAAUUGCCCAAGACUGGGUAAUUUAUAAAGAAAAAAAGUUUAAUUGACUCACAGUUCCACAGGGCUGGGGAGACCUCAGGAAACGUACAACCAUGGUGGCAGGGAGAGCAAACACGUGCUUCUUCACAUAGCAGCAGGAAGGAAAAGAAUGAGUGUCCAGUGAAGGGGGAAGCCCCUUAUAAAACCAUCGAAUCUCGUGAGAACUCACUCACUAUCACAGGAACAGGAUGGGAGAACCCCCACCCCCAUGAUUCAAUUAUCUCCACCUGGUCCCUCCCAUGACCUAAAUCUCAAGAUGAGAUUUAGGUGGAGACACAGCCAAACGAUAUCACCUUGCCAGCUGGCAGACAGUUGGGUUUGAACAAUGAGAGGUACCUGUAGGAGAUCAGAAAGUGGGAGAGAGGCCAGAGUGUUUCUUCCCUGCUUCACCAUAUCUCUGAGAGUAUCUGUGUCUCUGCAUGAUCACAGGUCCUUUCAGAUGCUCCUCUCCCACAUUUCCAGUUAUCUCUGCGUUUCCAUAAUGCUAUGUACACCGAGGCAUUGAAAUGGCUUCUUAUCAUUGCCCAUCUCUAGGGUCUUCACUCAUCAUCCGUUGUUCAUUUUUGUAAGGCUGUCCAUAUCUCAGUCAAUAAACUACCUGCCCUUGAACCAUCUGAACCUCCAUUUGGACCAUCAGUUCCUUGCUGGGACUUUGACCAAUACAGCCCUUGUCUCUGUCUUUCUGUAACUCACUUAGUUAAUCAACUGGCCUAACCCACUCACUCUGGACAUAAGGUCAAAACACAUUCACUCAACACUUGCAUGAACACACAGCAUUAUAUCAGAGGACAGAUAUUUAAAAGCUGGUAUUUAUAUUCAGAAAAAUGUUUAUUAUCAGCCUUGCCCAGGACCAUUUUGAAAGCAUACUUUAAGGAUAAGAAGCUCUUUCCAUGAGCAAUCAGAGUUCAUGUCAGGCCUUCCAUCCAUAUGAGUAGAUGAGCAUCAUUAUAAGCCUGCUCUGGGGAUUGCAAUGUUCCCAAACAUUAUUGUUACACAGUCAACAGUUAUAAUGAGUAAGGCACUCAUUGCUCACCAGUAAGUGGCAUUGGCCUUUUUGUUCUCUUCUGAGUCAAUCUCUUUAUUGUUUUCACUCCUUUGGUAGAGAUUGUUUUAAUAUGUCCCAUUUCUGAGCAGAUUCUCUCAGCUCAUCUUCAAAAUUCUGAAAUUCCACUUGUGUUCCCGCUGGACCAUGUUUGUUUAUAAGGUCACAAAAGGUUUCUUUAAA